AUCAUCACUUGCAAAGUGUCUGGGGUCUUUGGCUGGAGUCUGCUACUCAUGUCUGAAUAUGGCUAAAGGAGUGACUUGGCUUUUCUAGGCUCCAGUUCUUUAAAUACUAAAUAAGAGCAACAUAGUGGACAACUAGAUAUCCAACCACGUAACUUGGUGACUUGGAAGUUCUUGUGUCUAUGCUUCAUGGAUGGGAAUAGUUAGUGAAUCAAACUCUGGCAGUAGAAGAGAACAUAGUGUGGAGUUGUCCUGGUCAUGGUGUCUCUUCACAGCAAUGAAACCCUAAGACAGCUGGUACAAGGGAAAAUGGCCAAUCUGCUUUGGCUACUGUUCUUCAGAUGAAUCAUUGGACAAACACUAUGCUGCCAUGUUUGCCAGGUUCCAGGAAAUACAAGGAUGUGGGUAAAUUAGAUGUAGAG
This 419-nucleotide long non-coding RNA is filed under the name Mus spicilegus (steppe mouse). Its description in RNAcentral is "lncRNA (ENSMSIG00000015065.1)". Lineage: Eukaryota; Metazoa; Chordata; Mammalia; Rodentia; Muridae. The record is from RNAcentral.